ACCAUCCAUUUAUUAAUGAUGCAAAAUGUUGCACAAUGAAACACAUGAGAUGGCCCUUACAAUGGACCAUUACGUUUCGGGCAAAACGUAUGGCUUUCAUGCAAACAGAAUUGAAAAACAGAAAUACUAUACAAUGAAACACAUGAGAUGGCCCUUACAAUGGACCAUUACGUUUCGGGCAAAACGUAUGGCUUUCAUGCAAACAGAAUUGAAAAACAGAAAUACUACUCUUCAUGAUGAGUGAUAGUGAUGAUCU
This 256-nucleotide long non-coding RNA is filed under the name Lathyrus oleraceus (garden pea). RNAcentral's name for it is "Pisum sativum (pea) long non-coding RNA (PSAT_LNC016621)". Lineage: Eukaryota; Viridiplantae; Streptophyta; Magnoliopsida; Fabales; Fabaceae. The record is from RNAcentral.